GGGGGCGACUUGGCUUCGACGGGGGUGGAGAAUUCGAGAGCGCGUGCCGAGGUCCCCGACAACCUCGUUAAUCCUCGGGAACUCUUACAAACGCCGACGAUAACUCGUACGCGUUGGCCGCCUGAGCAAUCAGGUAGCCCGUCGGGGCCGGUGGAGCCUGCGCCGCCGGCCUCGGCGACAUCAUAGCAGGCUAGCUUGCGGCGACCGUCCCGGCUCCGCCGGCGAAACCUUCGGGGCUGGUCCUAUCCGGAUCCUGUCGAUCGGAACCGGUGCGGACGAGAGAGCUCCAGAGUAGAUCGACUACGCACGUAGGGGUCUCGAAGGACUCGCCUUCGGACGCGGGUUCGAUUCCCGCCGCCUCCACCA
This 366-nucleotide transfer-messenger RNA is filed under the name Gemmatimonadaceae bacterium. It matches the Rfam family "transfer-messenger RNA". Rfam says of the family: Bacterial tmRNA, also known as 10Sa RNA or SsrA, is named for its dual tRNA and mRNA-like properties. Its role is to liberate the mRNA from a stalled ribosome. To accomplish this part of the tmRNA is used as a reading frame that ends in a translation stop signal. The record is from RNAcentral. Lineage: Bacteria; Pseudomonadati; Gemmatimonadota; Gemmatimonadia; Gemmatimonadales; Gemmatimonadaceae.